This 354-nucleotide long non-coding RNA is filed under the name Setaria viridis. RNAcentral describes it as "long non-coding RNA (SVIR_LNC008340)". The record is from RNAcentral. Lineage: Eukaryota; Viridiplantae; Streptophyta; Magnoliopsida; Poales; Poaceae.
AUCUGAUGCAGCAGUACGUCCCCUAACCGCGCGCGCAAUCGUGAACUAACUCGGCCGAUUCGAUCGAUGAGUACAAGUACAGACGGCAGGGUCGCGGUGGCGAAUUAUAGGCCGAGCGCGCCGAGCGGCGUCUUGCCCUGUCCGGCCUCGAAGUAGAAGGUGAGCAUGGCGAGCAUGGCGAUGCGGGCGUGCUUGAUCUCGGCCAGCUUGAGCCGCUCGAGCUUCUCGGUGUCGGGGAUGUAGACGCCGUCCUUGACGGUGCCGGCGAGGCCGAGCGGGUCGAAGAACUUGCCGCCGGGGUAUCCCUGGUCGCCGGUGAAGUUGGCGAAGUUCUCGGCGGUGCGGGACCAUGGG